This 214-nucleotide ribosomal RNA is filed under the name uncultured prokaryote. Its description in RNAcentral is "partial 16S ribosomal RNA". It matches the Rfam family "Archaeal small subunit ribosomal RNA", at positions 513 to 727 of the family's 1478-position model. The record is from RNAcentral.
AAGCAUCCGUAGCCGGUCCUACAAGUCUUCCGUUAAAUCCAGCUGCUUAACAGAUGGGCCGCGGGAGAUACUACAGGGCUAGGAGGCGGGAGAGGCAAGCGGUACUUUAUGGGUAGGGGUAAAAUCCGCUGAUCCAUAGAAGACCACCAGUGGCGAAGGCGGCUUGCCAGAACGCGCUCGACGGUGAGGGAUGAAAGCUGGGGGAGCAAACCGG